This 433-nucleotide ribosomal RNA is filed under the name uncultured bacterium. Its description in RNAcentral is "partial 16S ribosomal RNA". It matches the Rfam family "Bacterial small subunit ribosomal RNA", at positions 29 to 507 of the family's 1533-position model. The record is from RNAcentral.
AACGAACGCUGGCGGCAGGCUUAACACAUGCAAGUCGAGCGAGACCUUCGGGUCUAGCGGCGGACGGGUGAGUAACGCGUGGGAACGUGCCCUUCUCUACGGAAUAGCCCCGGGAAACUGGGAGUAAUACCGUAUACGCCCUUUGGGGGAAAGAUUUAUCGGAGAAGGAUCGGCCCGCGUUGGAUUAGGUAGUUGGUGGGGUAAUGGCCCACCAAGCCGACGAUCCAUAGCUGGUUUGAGAGGAUGAUCAGCCACACUGGGACUGAGACACGGCCCAGACUCCUACGGGAGGCAGCAGUGGGGAAUCUUAGACAAUGGCGGCAACCCUGAUCGAGCCAUGCCGCGUGAGUGAUGAAGGCCUUAGGGUUGUAAAGCUCUUUCAGCUGGGAAGAUAAUGACGGUACCAGCAGAAGAAGCCCCGGCUAACUCCGUG